This is a long non-coding RNA of Drosophila elegans, 629 nucleotides long. RefSeq lists it as uncharacterized. The record is from RefSeq and is a predicted model, not a curated record. Lineage: Eukaryota; Metazoa; Arthropoda; Insecta; Diptera; Drosophilidae. The transcript is spliced from 4 exons.
UCAGCAUUGCACGGCGCGUGCCAUCAUUUCUAAGUCGCAGUUGUUGUGUCGUGUAGUGAAAAUUAAAGUUUAAUUGCUGAUGCCGCGAUCUCAUCAGAAACACAAAUCAAAGAUAGUGAAGUGCUAAAAUAAUUAAUCUGGAUCGCGAUUCUUACACGUUAUUGGUUUAACAUAAUUGACCCUCAAGAUAAAGAUCACGCCAAGAUUAAUUUUAAGCUUCGGAAGCAUAACUAUUUGAUACAAAUCGAUUUUAAUUUAAUGUUCCCUGGAAAGGAAAGGCGCAUUAGCUUCAAAAUGGGAAGCGUUUAAGAAGAAAAUACAACAGUACUAUGCGUAUAAUAUCCACAACGUGAACAGAGGGAAGCUGUUUAUGAAUUUCAAGAAUUCAGAGACUAUUGACUUUAUUUUGACUAUCCUGCUCCCCUCAAUUUUACCUCCCAAUACAUGGUACUCUUCAAAAGCAUCAAAAACCAGAACUCCCUGGAAAGUCUAGUCCUUCGAGUGAACUCCAUUGCCGACUAUCGCCAAAGGAUUGCAGAAUCUGUCGGUAAAAACUAUUCGAAUUUAAAAACAGUUCAACCAACCGUGUAUGUUUGUAAAAAGCCACAAAGCAAAUAAAAACAUGUACA